GAUCCUGGUGAUGACAGAUGACAUUGUCAACUAAUCCCUUCAAGGGAAUGAGGACAAGUCCUGCAAUUCUGAAUGGGUU
This is a small nucleolar RNA of Jaculus jaculus (lesser Egyptian jerboa), 79 nucleotides long. Its record names the gene SNORD96. It matches the Rfam family "Small nucleolar RNA SNORD96 family". Rfam says of the family: snoRNA Z37 is a member of the C/D class of snoRNA which contain the C (UGAUGA) and D (CUGA) box motifs. The record is from Ensembl. Lineage: Eukaryota; Metazoa; Chordata; Mammalia; Rodentia; Dipodidae.